This is a non-coding RNA of Gossypium raimondii (Peruvian cotton), 119 nucleotides long. Lineage: Eukaryota; Viridiplantae; Streptophyta; Magnoliopsida; Malvales; Malvaceae. The record is from Rfam.
CGGUGCGAUCAUAUCAGCAUUAAUGCAUCGAAUCCCAUCAGAACUCCGCAGUUAAGCGUGCUUAGGCGAGAGUAGUACUAGGAUGAGUGACCUUUUAGGAAGUCCUCGUGUUGAACCCC